This is a non-coding RNA of Oryza barthii, 205 nucleotides long. The record is from Rfam. NCBI's taxonomy places the organism in Eukaryota, Viridiplantae, Streptophyta, Magnoliopsida, Poales, Poaceae.
AAAAUGACAAACCAUGGAUUUCCGUGUCCAACGUUUGACCGUUUGUCUUAUUUGAAAAAAUUAUGAAAAAAAUUAAAAAGACAAGUCACGCAUAAAGUAUUAAUCAUGUUUUAUCAUCUAACAACAAUGAAAAUAGUAAUUAUAAAAAAUUCAUAUAAGACGGACAGUUAACCGUUGGACACGGAAAUCUAGGGUUUGUCUUUUU